Molecule: long non-coding RNA, 374 nt
Organism: Bombina bombina (fire-bellied toad)
Lineage: Eukaryota; Metazoa; Chordata; Amphibia; Anura; Bombinatoridae
Exons: 2
Source: RefSeq, a predicted model, not a curated record
UCAGUCCUGAAAGCUUGCAUUGCACCCACUGUUAGCUAUUAAAGGUAUCACCUGUACAUCGCUUUUGCUAUUUUCCUACAAAAGGAUUUUUUUUACUUUCUUAAGAGCUGGACGAAGAGAUAAGACUACAAUUUCCUGAUUGACGUUAUCUGAAGAUACAACCUUAGGAAGGAAGGAGUAGUUAGUUCUUACAACCACUUUAUCCUGAUGAAAAAUGAGCUGCAUAUCUUAUUCUAUGAAGAGCUGACCGUGGCAUCUUUCACCAUCUGAUAUAAUUCGCCUGUGGAGUGGGUUCUUUGUUAUUCUUUUUUUAACUGGUGACAGUGGGUCUUAGUAUUUGUUUUCACAUAAAGAACACUACAUAGCAACAUAAA